UGCAGUCGAACGGUCCCGCAAGGGACAGUGGCGGACGGCUGAGUAACACGUAGGAACCUACCCUAAAGUGAAGGAUAGCUCGCCGAAAGGCGGGGUAAUACUGCAUGUGAUCGCAAGAUCAAAGAGCUUAACUGCUCGCUUUAGGAGGGGCCUGCGGCCUAUCAGCUAGUUGGUGAGGUAAUGGCUCACCAAGGCUAUGACGGGUAGCUGAUCUGAGAGGAUGACCAGCCAGAAUGGAACUGAGAACGGUCCAUACAUCUACGGAUGGCAGCAACCGGGAAUCGUCGGCAAUGGACGAAAGUCUGACCGCGCGACGCCGCGUGUAGGAUGAAGGCCUACGGGUUGUAAACUACUCAAUUUCAAGCUAUAGCAAGAAAGGAUGAAGUCGCUGCUAACUACGUGCCAGAAGCCUCGGUAAUACGUAGGCGACAAGCGUUAUCCGGAUUUACUGGGCGUAAAGCGAGUGUAGGUGGUAUUUCAAGUCUUUUUUGAAAUCGUCCCGCUCAACGGGACUCACGGAAAAGAUACUGAAAAACUAGAGUCAUAUAGGGACAACUGGAACUCUCGGUGUAGGGGUGAAAUCCGAUGAUAUCGAGAGGAACACCAAGGGCGAAGGCAGGUUGUUGGAUAUGUACUGACACUGAGACUCGACAGCUAGGGGAGCGAAAGGGAUUAGAGACCCCUGUAGUCCUAGCCGUAAACUAUGAGUGCUAGAUGUUGUCGCCGUAGGCGACAGUGUCGUAAGCUAACGCGUUAAGCACUCCGCCUGGGGAGUACGGCCGCAAGGCUAAAACUCAAAGGAAUUGACGGGGAGGAGCACAACCAGUGGAGCGUGUGGUUUAAUUCGAUACGAAGCGAAAAACCUUACCAAGACUUGACAUGUAUUUUACACUUUUGGCGAAAGUUGAAAGUUCAACGGA
RNAcentral lists this ribosomal RNA (920 nucleotides) under uncultured bacterium. RNAcentral's name for it is "bacterial SSU rRNA". It matches the Rfam family "Bacterial small subunit ribosomal RNA", at positions 56 to 1024 of the family's 1533-position model. The record is from RNAcentral.